RNAcentral lists this ribosomal RNA (275 nucleotides) under uncultured bacterium. RNAcentral's name for it is "partial 16S ribosomal RNA". It matches the Rfam family "Bacterial small subunit ribosomal RNA", at positions 338 to 630 of the family's 1533-position model. The record is from RNAcentral.
CCUACGGGGGGCUGCAGUGGGGAAUAUUGGACAAUGGGCGAAAGCCUGAUCCAGCCAUGCCGCGUGAGUGAUGAAGGCCUUAGGGUUGUAAAGCUCUUUCGUUGGUGACGAUAAUGACGGUAACCAAAGAAGAAGCCCCGGCUAACUUCGUGCCAGCAGCCGCGGUAAUACGAAGGGGGCUAGCGUUGUUCGGAAUAACUGGGCGUAAAGAGCUCGUAGGCUGUGUCGCAAGUCAGGGGUGAAAUCCCGGGGCUUAACCUCGGAACUGCCUUUGA